This 1550-nucleotide ribosomal RNA is filed under the name Klebsiella pneumoniae. RNAcentral describes it as "bacterial SSU rRNA". It matches the Rfam family "Bacterial small subunit ribosomal RNA". The record is from RNAcentral. Lineage: Bacteria; Pseudomonadati; Pseudomonadota; Gammaproteobacteria; Enterobacterales; Enterobacteriaceae.
AAAUUGAAGAGUUUGAUCAUGGCUCAGAUUGAACGCUGGCGGCAGGCCUAACACAUGCAAGUCGAGCGGUAGCACAGAGAGCUUGCUCUCGGGUGACGAGCGGCGGACGGGUGAGUAAUGUCUGGGAAACUGCCUGAUGGAGGGGGAUAACUACUGGAAACGGUAGCUAAUACCGCAUAACGUCGCAAGACCAAAGUGGGGGACCUUCGGGCCUCAUGCCAUCAGAUGUGCCCAGAUGGGAUUAGCUAGUAGGUGGGGUAACGGCUCACCUAGGCGACGAUCCCUAGCUGGUCUGAGAGGAUGACCAGCCACACUGGAACUGAGACACGGUACAGACUCCUACGGGAGGCAGCAGUGGGGAAUAUUGCACAAUGGGCGCAAGCCGGAUGAAGCCAUGCCGCGUGUGUGAAGAAGGCCUUCGGGUUGUAAAGCACUUUCAGCGGGGAGGAAGGCGAUAAGGUUAAUAACCUUGUCGAUUGACGUUACCCGCAGAAGAAGCACCGGCUAACUCCGUGCCAGCAGCCGCGGUAAUACGGAGGGUGCAAGCGUUAAUCGGAAUUACUGGGCGUAAAGCGCACGCAGGCGGUCUGUCAAGUCGGAUGUGAAAUCCCCGGGCUUAACCUGGGAACUGCAUUCGAAACUGGCAGGCUAGAGUCUUGUAGAGGGGGGUAGAAUUCCAGGUGUAGCGGUGAAAUGCGUAGAGAUCUGGAGGAAUACCGGUGGCGAAGGCGGCCCCCUGGACAAAGACUGACGCUCAGGUGCGAAAGCGUGGGGAGCAAACAGGAUUAGAUACCCUGGUAGUCCACGCCGUAAACGAUGUCGAUUUGGAGGUUGUGCCCUUGAGGCGUGGCUUCCGGAGCUAACGCGUUAAAUCGACCGCCUGGGGAGUACGGCCGCAAGGUUAAAACUCAAAUGAAUUGACGGGGGCCCGCACAAGCGGUGGAGCAUGUGGUUUAAUUCGAUGCAACGCGAAGAACCUUACCUGGUCUUGACAUCCACAGAACUUUCCAGAGAUGGAUUGGUGCCUUCGGGAACUGUGAGACAGGUGCUGCAUGGCUGUCGUCAGCUCGUGUUGUGAAAUGUUGGGUUAAGUCCCGCAACGAGCGCAACCCUUAUCCUUUGUUGCCAGCGGUUAGGCCGGGAACUCAAAGGAGACUGCCAGUGAUAAACUGGAGGAAGGUGGGGAUGACGUCAAGUCAUCAUGGCCCUUACGACCAGGGCUACACACGUGCUACAAUGGCAUAUACAAAGAGAAGCGACCUCGCGAGAGCAAGCGGACCUCAUAAAGUAUGUCGUAGUCCGGAUUGGAGUCUGCAACUCGACUCCAUGAAGUCGGAAUCGCUAGUAAUCGUAGAUCAGAAUGCUACGGUGAAUACGUUCCCGGGCCUUGUACACACCGCCCGUCACACCAUGGGAGUGGGUUGCAAAAGAAGUAGGUAGCUUAACCUUCGGGAGGGCGCUUACCACUUUGUGAUUCAUGACUGGGGUGAAGUCGUAACAAGGUAACCGUAGGGGAACCUGCGGUUGGAUCACCUCCUUACCUUAAAGAA